Molecule: ribosomal RNA, 494 nt
Filed under: uncultured bacterium
Lineage: Bacteria
Description: partial 16S ribosomal RNA
Rfam family: Bacterial small subunit ribosomal RNA
Source: RNAcentral
GAUGAACGCUAGCGGCAGGCCUAACACAUGCAAGUCGAGGGGUAGACAUCUUCGGAUGUUGAGACCGGCGCACGGGUGCGUAACGCGUAUGCAAUCUACCUUAUACUAAGGGAUAGCCCAGAGAAAUUUGGAUUAAUACCUUAUGGUUAAUUAAAAAGGCAUCUUUUUAAUUAUAAAGAUUUAUUGGUAUAAGAUGAGCAUGCGUCCCAUUAGUUAGUUGGUAAGGUAACGGCUUACCAAGACGAUGAUGGGUAGGGGUCCUGAGAGGGAGAUCCACCACACUGGUACUGAGACACGGACCAGACUCCUACGGGAGGCAGCAGUGAGGAAUAUUGGUCAAUGGAGGCAACUUUGAACCAGCCAUGCCGCGUGCAGGAUGAAGCAUCUAUGGUGUGUAAACUGCUUUUGUACGGGAAGAAAAAAAGCUACGUGUAGCUUACUGACGGUACCGUAAGAAUAAGGAUCGGCUAACUCCGUGCCAGCCGCCGCAGUAA